This 1248-nucleotide long non-coding RNA is filed under the name Gouania willdenowi (blunt-snouted clingfish). RNAcentral describes it as "lncRNA (ENSGWIG00000010640.1)". The record is from RNAcentral. Lineage: Eukaryota; Metazoa; Chordata; Actinopteri; Blenniiformes; Gobiesocidae.
CACUAUUAUCACCUAAAAUCUGCUGAGAUCUUAUUACAGUUAUACAAUUAUAUAAUUAGCAGACUUUAACCAAGUCAAAUUUGAUGGUCCCAACCCAGAACAUAUUUAGUGACUGAGAUAUUGUGUAUUUUUUAUUUUCUGACAAACAAAAUUCAAAAAAAGGAAAAUCUUACAGGCAGUGAGAGAAGGACUCGCAGCUUUGGGCCCAACGGCUCAGACUUGAGAGGAGAGUGGGAGGGAAAAAAUGCUUGCUAAGCUAUCCGUUUCACACAUGCAGGGACAGAAGGUUCGAUAUUCAUUCGAUCGAUGAAUGAAAAGGCACAAUGGCAAAAUCGGACAGGCUCCUUUUCAAAUCCACGUCUCCGAUGUCCCCCCGCCACCCCUUCCACAGUCUGCAGUGGCUGAGCGGCCGGUGUGGCAGGCAGAGAGAGAAAGAGAGAGAGGAGAGCAAGGGUUACAUCAAGGCUGCUCCCUGGACCGUGCAAACAAGUCUAGACCAGUGACCUGUUCAAUGGCUCCUUUUGAGGUGUGGGGCAAGUUCGGUCAGAGCGAGGAGAAAGGCACGGCACUGCCUCUUUUCAGCACCCGAGCAGCUCACAGCCCUGCGAUCGACAGGAGAGGCAAACUAAAAGUCAGUCCAGCUGAAAAUCAACCAUUUCCCAGAAAAAGUUGUUUCUGUGACGGAGCCCCACGGCAGUUCACUGUCCUCUCUUUGGGCUCAGAGCAGUGAGAAAGUUAGGGAGGAAGGAUGAUGUGUAAAGGUGGAUGAGGAAACACAAAGGUGGAGAGGGUGAUUUGAAGUGGGGGAGGCGUUUCCAGCCAGGAAGAGAGAAUCAGAGUAGCUUCCCUCACCAUCUCUUUCCACUGCUCAUUAGUAUGUGCCGGCCGUCGCUCAGGUGACACAGCCGCUGGAUUCAGUCCCAACUGCAGAGACAUCAGCGGGAUAGCAGGUAAGGACAAUGAGAGGAAGGGUGGAGAAGCAGGGAAGAGCGUGGGGGGGGGGUACUCUGAUACACAAACACACGAUUAAAGUGCUAAGUUUUAAAGCUAAACCUUGUUCUCCAAAUAUCUCAGUCUUUAACACACUGCAUGCAGUCUAUAAACCACGAGGCCCAAAUACAACACAAUAUUGCUCCAAUGUUAAUUGCAGCUUUUCAAAAAAUGUAGUAAUUUGAGUUUCUACAGGUUGUGUUGUAAAAUAUUGAUCUUAAUAAUAAAAAAUCUCUGCUGGAUUUGUUCGCUGUGUGU